Molecule: long non-coding RNA, 256 nt
Filed under: Cavia porcellus (domestic guinea pig)
Lineage: Eukaryota; Metazoa; Chordata; Mammalia; Rodentia; Caviidae
Description: lncRNA (ENSCPOG00000033919.1)
Source: RNAcentral
AAGUUCUCCUUCAUGUCUUUAUUUGUGCUGUCCUAGCUGCCUUGAUGUCAUGAAUUGACCCGCAAUGUUUACCUUUCAUGGUCAUCUUGACUUGGGAGAAGAGCCAGAGUCACAGUGCCAGAUCCAGUCAAUAAGGUGCAUGACAAGGCCUCAAAAAGACACAAAAAAAGGACUUACAGAAUUGCUUCAGAAAAUGACAAGAACAAUAAGUGUGUUUGAAGAAAAGGGAAAUAUUUUAAGGGGGGUGAAUGGUAAU